RNAcentral lists this ribosomal RNA (582 nucleotides) under Serratia sp. (in: enterobacteria). Its description in RNAcentral is "bacterial SSU rRNA". It matches the Rfam family "Bacterial small subunit ribosomal RNA", at positions 816 to 1398 of the family's 1533-position model. The record is from RNAcentral. Lineage: Bacteria; Pseudomonadati; Pseudomonadota; Gammaproteobacteria; Enterobacterales; Yersiniaceae.
UUUGGAGGUUGUGCCCUUGAGGCGUGGCUUCCGGAGCUAACGCGUUAAAUCGACCGCCUGGGGAGUACGGCCGCAAGGUUAAAACUCAAAUGAAUUGACGGGGGCCCGCACAAGCGGUGGAGCAUGUGGUUUAAUUCGAUGCAACGCGAAGAACCUUACCUACUCUUGACAUCCAGAGAACUUUCCAGAGAUGGAUUGGUGCCUUCGGGAACUCUGAGACAGGUGCUGCAUGGCUGUCGUCAGCUCGUGUUGUGAAAUGUUGGGUUAAGUCCCGCAACGAGCGCAACCCUUAUCCUUUGUUGCCAGCGAUUCGGUCGGGAACUCAAAGGAGACUGCCGGUGAUAAACCGGAGGAAGGUGGGGAUGACGUCAAGUCAUCAUGGCCCUUACGAGUAGGGCUACACACGUGCUACAAUGGCGUAUACAAAGAGAAGCAAGCUCGCGAGAGCAAGCGGACCUCAUAAAGUACGUCGUAGUCCGGAUUGGAGUCUGCAACUCGACUCCAUGAAGUCGGAAUCGCUAGUAAUCGUAGAUCAGAAUGCUACGGUGAAUACGUUCCCGGGCCUUGUACUACCGGCCCGUC